RNAcentral lists this ribosomal RNA (497 nucleotides) under uncultured bacterium. RNAcentral describes it as "partial 16S ribosomal RNA". It matches the Rfam family "Bacterial small subunit ribosomal RNA", at positions 28 to 507 of the family's 1533-position model. The record is from RNAcentral.
GAUGAACGCUGGCGGCGUGCCUAAUACAUGCAAGUCGAGCGAACAGACGAGGAGCUUGCUCCUCUGACGUUAGCGGCGGACGGGUGAGUAACACGUGGAUAACCUACCUAUAAGACUGGGAUAACUUCGGGAAACCGGAGCUAAUACCGGAUAAUAUAUAGAACCGCAUGGUUCAAUAGUGAAAGACGGUUUUGCUGUCACUUAUAGAUGGAUCCGCGCCGCAUUAGCUAGUUGGUAAGGUAACGGCUUACCAAGGCAACGAUGCGUAGCCGACCUGAGAGGGUGAUCGGCCACACUGGAACUGAGACACGGUCCAGACUCCUACGGGAGGCAGCAGUAGGGAAUCUUCCGCAAUGGGCGAAAGCCUGACGGAGCAACGCCGCGUGAGUGAUGAAGGUCUUCGGAUCGUAAAACUCUGUUAUUAGGGAAGAACAAAUGUGUAAGUAACUAUGCACGCCUUGACGGUACCUAAUCAGAAAGCCACGGCUAACUACGUG